Molecule: long non-coding RNA, 283 nt
Filed under: Brassica napus (rape)
Lineage: Eukaryota; Viridiplantae; Streptophyta; Magnoliopsida; Brassicales; Brassicaceae
Description: long non-coding RNA (BNAP_LNC012190)
Source: RNAcentral
GAAGUUACCAGACGACUUAAAUAUAAGUCGUGUGCAGAAGACUUACGCAGUCUUCCAGCCAUCCUCUGGCUGUCCGGAGGAAGUGGUACCACCUUGUUGGUGAUGUACGUGGUUUGUCCUCGGUGUUAGUUAAAUAAUGACUGCAAACAAAAAAGCAAUCAGUUUUGGACGACUAAAUCAAGCUAUUAUGGGUAAAGCAAUCACUUACGGAUCAGUUUUCAACCAAUCAGCGAGUUCCUUCAACUUAUCUUUGUUUACGGGCGGAAAUGGAUUAUAGGCUGCC